This 492-nucleotide ribosomal RNA is filed under the name uncultured bacterium. RNAcentral's name for it is "partial 16S ribosomal RNA". It matches the Rfam family "Bacterial small subunit ribosomal RNA", at positions 29 to 507 of the family's 1533-position model. The record is from RNAcentral.
AGUGAACGCUGGCGGUAGGCCUAACACAUGCAAGUCGAACGGCAGCACAGUAAGAGCUUGCUCUUACGGGUGGCGAGUGGCGGACGGGUGAGGAAUACAUCGGAAUCUACUUUUUCGUGGGGGAUAACGUAGGGAAACUUACGCUAAUACCGCAUACGACCUACGGGUGAAAGCAGGGGAUCUUCGGACCUUGCGCGAUUGAAUGAGCCGAUGUCGGAUUAGCUAGUUGGCGGGGUAAAGGCCCACCAAGGCGACGAUCCGUAGCUGGUCUGAGAGGAUGAUCAGCCACACUGGAACUGAGACACGGUCCAGACUCCUACGGGAGGCAGCAGUGGGGAAUAUUGGACAAUGGGGGCAAGCCUGAUCCAGCCCUACCGCGUGGGUGAAGAAGGCCUUCGGGUUGUAAAGCCCUUUUGUUGGGAAAGAAAAGCAGCAGGUUAAUACCCCGCUGUUCUGACGGUACCCAAAGAAUAAGCACCGGCUAACUUCGUG